UGGCGUUAACGGGUGACGGAGAAUUAGGGUUCGAUUCCGGAGAGGGAGCCUGAGAAACGGCUACCACAUCUAAGGAAGGCAGCAGGCGCGCAAAUUACCCAAAUCCUGAUACAGGGAGGUAGUGAAGAUAAAUAACAAUACCGGUCCUUUCUAGGUCUGGUAAUUGGAAUGAGAACAAUUUAAAUACCUUAUCGAGGAACAAUUGGAGGGCAAGUCUGGUGCCAGCAGCCGCGGUAACACCAGCUCCCAUAGCGUAUAUUAAAGUUGUUGCAGUUAAAAAGCUCGUAGUUGGAUAUCUGGUAAGGAUGCCUGGCCCGCCAUCUUUGGUGGUGAGUUGCCGGUUGUCAACCUUACCAUCCUUCUGGAGAACAGUCCCGUGAUAUCCGUCGUGGGAUUGGGAUCUGGAUCUUUUACUUUGAAAAAAUUAGAGUGUUCAAAGCAAGCGUUUUGCUGUGAAUACAUUAGCAUGGAAUAAUGAAAUAGGACAUCGGUCUUAUUUUGUUGGUUUCUAGGACCGAAGUAAUGAUUGAUAGGGAUAGUUGGGGGUGCUUGUAUUGAACGGCCAGAGGCGAAAUUCUUGGAUUCGUUCAAGACAAACUAAUGCGAAAGCAUUCACCAAGGAUGUCUUCUUUAAUCAAGAACGAAAGUUGGGGGAUCGAAGACGAUCAGAUACCGUCGUAGUCUCAACCAUAAACGAUGCCAACUAAGGAUCAGUGAACGUUGUUUGUAGACUUCAUUGGCACUUUACGAGAAAUCACAAGUUCUUGGGUUCCGGGGGGAGUAUGGUCGCAAGGCUGAAACUUAAAGGAAUUGACGGAAGGGCACCACCAUGGCGUGGAGCCUGCGGCUUAAUUUGACCCAACACGGGGAAACUUACCAGGUCCAGACAUAGUUAGGAUUGACAGAUUGCAGAUCUUUCUUGAUUCUAUGGGUGGUGGUGCAUGGCCGCUCUUAGUUGGUGGAGUGAUUUGUCUGGUUAAUUCCGUUAACGAACGAGACCUCAGCCUGCUAAAUAGUCAGGCGAACACUUGUGUUCGUCGGCGACUUCUUAGAGGGACUGUCGGUUUCUAGCCGAAGGAAGUUUGAGGCAAUAACAGGUCUGUGAUGCCCUUAGAUGUCCUGGGCUGCACGCGCGCUACACUGUUGCACACAACAAGCUUCAUCCUGGAUCGACAGGUCUGGGUAAUCUUUGAAAGUGCAACGUGACGGGGCUAGAGUAUUGCAAUUAUUACUCUCAAACGAGGAAUGCCUAGUAAUCGCAUGUCAUCAGCGUGCAAUGAUUACGUCCCUGCCCUUUGUACACACCGCCCGUCGCUCCUACCGAUUGAAUGAUCCGGCAAAAUCUUCGGACCGUAGCGCAGAUUCGGGUUUCCGGUCUGCGCAUCUGGGAAGUUGAUUGAACCUUAUCAUUUAGAGGAAGGAGAAGUCGUAACAAGGUU
RNAcentral lists this ribosomal RNA (1439 nucleotides) under metagenome. Its description in RNAcentral is "SSU rRNA". It matches the Rfam family "Eukaryotic small subunit ribosomal RNA", at positions 347 to 1801 of the family's 1831-position model. The record is from RNAcentral.